CUUAAAGCGUUGAAAAGAAGAAGUACCAUCUGAAAGAACGGUAGAGAGAGCUUGUUUGGUGAAAAAGCUUGUUUGGAAAGAUCGGAAAUACACCUUGGAGCUGUUUGUCUCAAAAGGCAGACCGUGACCUUGCGUUAAAGGGGAUAGAGGGCAUAGGGAAGUCUAUGAACUAAGGUGGUACCGCGCAAAGAGCGUCCUUAGA
RNAcentral lists this non-coding RNA (202 nucleotides) under Bulleidia extructa. RNAcentral's name for it is "T-box sequence". It matches the Rfam family "T-box leader". From Rfam's summary of the family: Uncharged tRNA acts as the effector for transcription antitermination of genes in the T-box leader family. T-boxes are found upstream of many aminoacyl-tRNA synthetase genes and some amino acid biosynthetic genes usually in Gram-positive bacteria. The record is from RNAcentral. Lineage: Bacteria; Bacillati; Bacillota; Erysipelotrichia; Erysipelotrichales; Erysipelotrichaceae.